GACGUAGGGCGCGAGCGUUGUCCGGAUUUAUUGGGCGUAAAGAGCGUGUAGGCGGCUUGGUAGGUCCGCUGUGAAAACUCGAGGCUCAACCUCGAGAUGUCGGCGGAAACCACUUGGCUAGAGUCCGGAAGAGGAGAGUGGAAUUCCUGGUGUAGCGGUGGAAUGCGCAGAUAUCAGGAGGAACACCAACGGCGAAGGCAGCUCGCUGGGACGGUACUGACACUGAGGCGCGAAAGCGUGGGGAGCGAACAGG
RNAcentral lists this ribosomal RNA (253 nucleotides) under uncultured bacterium. Its description in RNAcentral is "partial 16S ribosomal RNA". It matches the Rfam family "Bacterial small subunit ribosomal RNA", at positions 524 to 776 of the family's 1533-position model. The record is from RNAcentral.